This is a non-coding RNA of Theobroma cacao (cacao), 1175 nucleotides long. The record is from RefSeq and is a predicted model, not a curated record. Lineage: Eukaryota; Viridiplantae; Streptophyta; Magnoliopsida; Malvales; Malvaceae.
CUGAUUUAGGGUGAAUGAGUCGGUCAAUGACAAGCUACUCUCCAUCUUGGGGAGAAAGACCCAACUAUUUCCAACUUUCUGGAUCUCUCCGACUUCCCGUUUGAUAAUGGCGUUUCAAUUGAUGAAGUUAUCGUUGGAGAGAGAGGAGUUUGCAACUAGGUUGUUUAGCCUUUUCUGGAGUUUCCGAAUCUACCUUAGUGUGAGCAAUUUCCUUCCCGCGUCUGAAUGUGUAUGAGUUGAUGGACAAGGGGCUCUUUUGAAAUUAGUAGGCAUGGGCACUAGCGGCUGGUUUGGUAGAUCAUCACUAGGAGGAGGUUCGAGCCGUGCUUCCAACGAGUCUCCAAGCUCGAUGGUGCUGGGCUCACUAUGACUUGAAAAUGAGUUGUCGUUAGACCAAUGAAUUGAAGGCGUCCAAGCUUGCUUCAAUCAGUCUUCAUGUUCGGCCUAUGGAUUCCAUAAUUCCUCAAGCCUCACCUAGGUUUGUUGGCUCAUUUUCACAGUAUAGCUAGCUCUUGUGAGCAACCUUCUGAUUAGCCAGCUGAUCUUUACCUUCAUUAUCUGAACUGGGCUCACAUAGCACAUGAUCUCGACAUCAGAAUAUUUUGGUCCCUCUUGGCUUGCUCCACAACUCACUACCUAGAAAUUGCCUCCUCCAGAGUUACCAUAGACCAAUAUUAAUUGAGAAUUGGUAUCCCCGUUAUAGUUAAUGUAGCUUCAUUAUCCAUACGCAGGACAUUGAACUGGAAAUUUGAACUAGAGCAUUCAGAACUUGAGUAUCCUAUAAUUUUGAGCUCCAAGAAAAAUCAGGAAAAUCAAUCACACAGUCGGGAAAAAUCAUAAAUAAAAAUGUUGCAAAAGUUGUCACCAAUAAAGAGAAGUUUCCUCGAUUUUCUCCGGGACGGGAGUUAAUAUGAGCAUAUUAAGGCUCGCUCAAGUACUGACUCUUUCCUAGUCGUCUCAUCACCUAAGCUAAAGUUCAAAUUUCACCGCCCCUCUUUGACCUUGUCUUAACGUACUAGAAACAACAAUUCUAGUAUAUAUGGUCUGAUUUUCUUGUUUCUUUUAAAAAUGUUUACAGAUGUGAUACCGAAUUAUAGUGAAGCUGUGGUGGAGAUUUAAAACUUGUAAUAGCCUUUGGACAAAAUUUAUGAAAGCUAAGUAUUGUGCUUGUCGUG